Molecule: ribosomal RNA, 385 nt
Filed under: uncultured bacterium
Lineage: Bacteria
Description: bacterial SSU rRNA
Rfam family: Bacterial small subunit ribosomal RNA
Source: RNAcentral
GACGAACGCUGGCGGCGUGCUUAACACAUGCAAGUCGAGCGGAAAGGCCCUUCGGGGUACUCGAGCGGCGAACGGGUGAGUAACACGUGAGAAACCUGCCCUGGACUUUGGGAUAACCCUCGGAAACGGGGGCUAAUACCGGAUAUGACAUUCGACCGCAUGGUUGUUUGUGGAAAGUUUUUCGGUCUGGGAUGGUCUCGCGGCCUAUCAGCUUGUUGGUGGGGUAAUGGCCUACCAAGGCGACGACGGGGUAGCCGGCCUGAGAGGGCGACCGGCCACACUGGGACUGAGACACGGCCCAGACUCCUACGGGAGGCAGCAGUGGGGAAUAUUGCACAAUGGGCGGAAGCCUGAUGCAGCGACGCCGCGUGAGGGAUGACGGCCU